UUGCCUGUUUUGCAUGUUAUUUUGACAUUAAUAUGUGUCACAUAUCAGUUUCUAAACAAUAUUUAAAAAAAAAUAAUCAUUGAGUUAAUAAAGCCAUGGUCCCUUUUUUGCUUUCUUGAGUAAGGCAGCUGUUUCAGCCCAGUUCAGUGCUUUCUGUGGUGGUUGAGCAGCCAGCGGAAAAUACAGAGCGUAGAGGUUGGUAAUGUUCUCUAGUUGCGCCAUGAUUGGGUAAUGUUUUCUAGUUGUGCCGGGAUUGGCUCAGUGUUCUGUCACUCAUGGGGACACUACAUCACCGCUAAAUCUAAGGGUAGAGCUCGAAAAUUCAAGCCCCUUGGGUGCUGCAUUAGAGUUACAUUAGAAGUGCCCAUCCAAGAAGCCUCAAGGUCAUUGGCCACAGAUAAAAUUGUCAAAUCAUGUUAUUUCUACACUAGCUUUGAUUGGACUGAUCAUGUCAACAUCAUACUUUCAAAAUCUUAGCUAGCAGUCAUCAUCAUGAAUCAAGUUUACAAUCUACAGGCAAGUGCUUUUUCAUCCGUGUCAUAUAAAGAGAAAUGACAGAUAAAACGUAUCGGUACUCAUGGGCCAUUGGACAUAAACAUUACACAACAAGUAGGAAAUCGCAAAUUCAACAAUGAGUGGUUUGGAAGGAAUUAGUGGCUAACUGGAAGCAUUGCAAAGCAAUCCCUAGCCUGCUAUUCAGUGGAGUGGGUUUGUAGUUCCAAGUCUGGGUUUAAGGGUCUCUUUUCCAAACUUAAAAGGAUAAACAUUCAACGUUGGCCAUGCUGUCAAUUCAGCAUGACUUCUGCCAUCAAAACAACUGGAAACUCAGAACCUUGAAAUCUGACUUCAGUGAGUUCAAGACAGCUGGGAACUCGGAAUUGAACGGUCAUCCAAAUCGGUAUUGCAAGUCGGGAACUCAGGCCUCUUUCUAGAGCUCCAACGUCAUCGUAAUUUGACCUUGUUUUUCCCCCCAGAGUUCCCAGUCAUCUUGGACGCACCAUCAAUCCAGAGAAUGCCAGACUUUGAUGACCAAAUUUGCUCAUGAAGGACCUGUUCAAGUGAACACAGCAAGUGUCCUUGUUUCUACAUGUUUUCCAAGAAAAGCCUUUAUUGGAGGAUGCUUUUCUUGAUGGAAAGAAGAAAGCCUGUGUAUAUUCAUCAGAUUUCUGGCCGUUUUGAUGUGGGAAACCUUGCUUCCUAUGUUUAACGUGACUGGUACUUCAGAGAAGAUCUUCAAGGUGUGGGAAACCUUCCUUCCUAUGUUUAACGUGACUGGUACUUCAGAGAAGACCUUCAAGAUGUGAAGUCUUACACAAUAUAGCUUACUCAGGUGCAUGUGUGAGAUUGACAAUGUGAAGAAAACAGCAACUUUGACUAUUACAAAAACAUAUCAAGAGUAAAUGUAUUCAAAUGAAUUAAAACAUUUCUGUUGAUACUGUGGCUCACUGUGACCCGAAUUACAAGCAUGACUUAGUUGGCUUAUGUCAAUACAGUGAACAAAGAUAACAUUCCUGAUUAAAUGUUCUG
Oncorhynchus nerka (sockeye salmon) is the source of this 1527-nucleotide long non-coding RNA. RefSeq lists it as uncharacterized. NCBI's taxonomy places the organism in Eukaryota, Metazoa, Chordata, Actinopteri, Salmoniformes, Salmonidae. The record is from RefSeq and is a predicted model, not a curated record. The transcript has 3 exons.